This 420-nucleotide ribosomal RNA is filed under the name Klebsiella pneumoniae. Its description in RNAcentral is "bacterial SSU rRNA". It matches the Rfam family "Bacterial small subunit ribosomal RNA", at positions 53 to 467 of the family's 1533-position model. Lineage: Bacteria; Pseudomonadati; Pseudomonadota; Gammaproteobacteria; Enterobacterales; Enterobacteriaceae. The record is from RNAcentral.
ACAUGCAGUCGAGCGGUAGCACAGAGAGCUUGCUCUCGGGUGACGAGCGGCGGACGGGUGAGUAAUGUCUGGGAAACUGCCUGAUGGAGGGGGAUAACUACUGGAAACGGUAGCUAAUACCGCAUAAUGUCGCAAGACCAAAGUGGGGGACCUUCGGGCCUCAUGCCAUCAGAUGUGCCCAGAUGGGAUUAUCUAGUAGGUGGGGUAACGGCUCACCUAGGCGACGAUCCCUAGCUGGUCUGAGAGGAUGACCAACCACACUGGAACUGAGACACGGUCCACACUCCUACGGGAGGCAGCAGUGGGGAAUAUUGCUCAAUGGGCGCAAGCCUGAUGCGGCCAUGCCGGGUGUGGGAAGAACCCCUUCGGGGUGUAAAACCCUUUCUUCCGGGAAAGAAAGGGGGGAAGGUUAAUAAGCUU